This 490-nucleotide ribosomal RNA is filed under the name uncultured bacterium. RNAcentral's name for it is "bacterial SSU rRNA". It matches the Rfam family "Bacterial small subunit ribosomal RNA", at positions 28 to 518 of the family's 1533-position model. The record is from RNAcentral.
GACGAACGCUGGCGGCGUGCCUAACACAUGCAAGUCGAACGAAGCAUUUAAGUGAAUCCCUUCGGGGUGAAGCUUUUAUGACUUAGUGGCGGACGGGUGAGUAACGCGUGAGUAACCUGCCUUUCAGAGGGGGAUAACAGUUGGAAACGACUGCUAAUACCGCAUAACGUACAUUUAUCGCAUGGUAGAUGUACCAAAGCUGAGGCGCUGAAAGAUGGACUCGCGUCUGAUUAGCUAGUUGGUGAGGUAACGGCUCACCAAGGCGACGAUCAGUAGCCGGCCUGAGAGGGUGACCGGCCACAUUGGGACUGAGACACGGCCCAAACUCCUACGGGAGGCAGCAGUGGGGAAUAUUGCACAAUGGGGGAAACCCUGAUGCAGCAACGCCGCGUGAGUGAAGAAGUAUUUCGGUAUGUAAAGCUCUAUCAGCAGGGAAGAAAAUGACGGUACCUGACUAAGAAGCCCCGGNUAACUACGUGCCAGCAGCCGC